ACAUCACUGCUACCCAAGUCACAAGAAUGUCACGUGAUCUGACAAACCUUUCCGUGAUAAAACUCGCGUGUAUAAUUACCCUUUUACCCUUAUGUCUAUAUUGAACACAAGGCAUAGUACGUCACCCUUGUUAAGUUCAAUAUUGGGCCCAUAGACAUAUCUCCCGUUAUGUAGGAGGGGUAAAUUCCAUCUAGGUCACUCAUGUCCCUCAGCAUGAUUCGUGGAAUACCCAUCAACCAACCUUACAGUCAUCCUGUUACGGAUAACUUUGAUUGGCGACAAAGUACUACACUCCUACACCUAGGGAACAUAGUGGUUUCAGGUCGAAGGGUGGAAUACACCACUUAUCACUAUGAGAAUAUCUUAUGACAUUUCAUAACAUACUAUGUGAUAUUCUCAUGGUGGGUCAAUCCGAUAUAAAUAUUACUCUUAAUAUUUAUAUCUAUGUGAAGACUUGAUAACUCUUUAUCUAUGAUCCGUGAGAUGUGAUCAUCAGUCUAUCAACAUAAUAGUCUCUACGNNNUAUUCUAGGGACUCUAUUAUUAUUUAACACAUAAACAUAAUAAAGAAAAGCCUUUAUUUAAUAAGUAAAUUAUCCAAUACAAGUAUCAUGCAAUUAUAAAUAAUUGGCCUCUAGGGCUUACACCAACAC
RNAcentral lists this long non-coding RNA (652 nucleotides) under Trifolium pratense (red clover). RNAcentral describes it as "long non-coding RNA (TPRA_LNC006066)". Lineage: Eukaryota; Viridiplantae; Streptophyta; Magnoliopsida; Fabales; Fabaceae. The record is from RNAcentral.